CCAAGAAAUGAUGGCUACGGAUUCAGAUCAUUUCGUAGUCUGGAAAAAGGAAGUUCUUUUAUGGUGGCUUCUGUCUUAUCAGCAGAACUGGAGGGCGGAGUAGAGGGGCGGAAGGUGUGAGGAACAGAGAGAAGCUUCCGAUCAGCCAUGGCGCACAACGGGAGCGUAUGUGGAAAGAGAGGAGCGCCCAGCACCACUGAGGCCCCAGCUGGGGUUGGUACCCAUGAACCGACCCUGGCAGCGAUUCUCAAGCAAGCAUGCCAGACGCCACUCAGAAGUGUGUGCUGGACCGAGACACGAGGCUUCCCCGUUCUUGGCAACAUCCUGGGCCCGCAGAAAGCAAUUCCCCUCUGCGUAAUACAACAACCCUGUGUCAUGAGCAGCCUGUCCAACCCGCAUUCUCCAAGCUCAGAACUGACUCUGAACCAGGCAUCCAGGGUCACAACUCCAUUGUCCAAAAAGGCGAGAAAACCGGUUUCUUUUCAAAGACAGAUCACAGCACUCGGCUUUCCUACCUGUCCUCCAACGACCCCCGUGCUGCAUGGGCAAGAGAAAGAGGCUUCCUUCCACUGGUCCUGACUCACCUUGGUUGAAUGCUAGUCUCUCUCUACAGAAAUUUCUCCACAGUCGCUACAACACACGUGCAUGCCAAGAUUCAAGGAAAAUGUUACUUCCAGUUAGAGAAAGAAAUUACAUUAUUUAACCUCUAAGGAAAAGUGGCUUACUAUAAAUCAGGCCCUUGGGAGUGAUGUCAUUUUGAUGCUUCUUACAACUGUAAGGAGACUUAUUAAAUAUUCAAUAAUUAAUAA
This is a non-coding RNA of Callorhinus ursinus (northern fur seal), 809 nucleotides long. The record is from RefSeq and is a predicted model, not a curated record. NCBI's taxonomy places the organism in Eukaryota, Metazoa, Chordata, Mammalia, Carnivora, Otariidae.